RNAcentral lists this ribosomal RNA (1045 nucleotides) under Dermacentor reticulatus. The record is from RNAcentral. Lineage: Eukaryota; Metazoa; Arthropoda; Arachnida; Ixodida; Ixodidae.
AUCACAUAUCAAGAGAGCCUUCGGCGCACAGGGAACGUGCGUCCGUCGACUCGUUUUGACCGCGUCGGCAUCACGGACAGUACGUUGAGUGCAGAAGCCACGUGCCAACGGCCUCACGAGAAGGAGAYGGUGGCGAGCUGACACUGUUGUGCCUAAACUUCGAAGAGACGGAAACGAGGCAACACUACUGCAGCACGACGAAUGCGUGCCUCCGAAGAGACCGCCGCAGGAUGGAGUCGGACACCUGCAGGGAAAGAGCGGUCCAAGUGUGAGGCGCGAACGUCUGUUGCGACGUAGCGCGCACGUUUGCGAGAGAGUCGGAAGCGCACGCUUGCGUGCACGGAAAARCGCGGAAAACCCUUUUCCGCUCCGUGCGCAAAGCCAGCGCGAUCGCAGUUUGCGUUGUUUGCCUUCGUAGUACGUCGAGCUCUAGCAAAAGGUCGCUCGUCCGCGUCAGCGCACGGGUGUCGGCGCUCUUCCGGGCUUCGUCGCAGGAAUAGGAGUCGGAAAAGAUUCCUGCGCGGAGGGAAAGGGUGCGCCCCGAAGCGGUAGUGACGCGGCAACACGAGUGUGCCGUCCGCGAGCGCGAAGAAAACGGCACGGCGGAGCAGUCGCGGCGACUCGGAAAAUGUCUCCCUCGAGAGAGUUGGCYGAGCUGAAGCAUUCCGUCGUAGUCCGCCGUCGGUCCAAGUGCUUCGCAGUCUCUGUCCCGAAWAGACUGGGCCACUCCAGUUGGGGCGGGGGCGACGCUACACUAGACGAUGCCUACUGCCAGGCUAGAGUCGUCCUGCGGUGCCCGCUAAAGCGCGCGCUGCGAGGGUGGCAUGCCUCGGCGGUGUUUGGGCUUCAGACACGGUCGUUUACCACGCAACUGCUCGUGCGCCGCACGCGUGUGGCGGUUUACCGCCUGCCAGCCUCGUCUAUAAGUAGCUCCGUGUUGGGCGAAUGACGUGGUAGGGCGUCGUACUCGGUUCGCGCUGGGUUUUCGAACGUGUCGAGUCCUUUCAGCUGCACGCUGGAAGGGGCGAAAGCGAUGUAUCCGUUG